This 640-nucleotide ribosomal RNA is filed under the name uncultured Burkholderia sp. RNAcentral describes it as "bacterial SSU rRNA". It matches the Rfam family "Bacterial small subunit ribosomal RNA", at positions 154 to 789 of the family's 1533-position model. Lineage: Bacteria; Pseudomonadati; Pseudomonadota; Betaproteobacteria; Burkholderiales; Burkholderiaceae. The record is from RNAcentral.
AAAGCCGGAUUAAUACCGCAUACGCUCUACGGAGGAAAGCGGGGGAUCUUAGGACCUCGCGUUAUUGGGGUGGCCGAUGGCGGAUUAGCUAGUUGGUGGGGUAAAGGCUCACCAAGGCGACGAUCCGUAGCUGGUCUGAGAGGACGACCAGCCACACUGGGACUGAGACACGGCCCAGACUCCUACGGGAGGCAGCAGUGGGGAAUUUUGGACAAUGGGCGAAAGCCUGAUCCAGCAAUGCCGCGUGUGUGAAGAAGGCCUUCGGGUUGUAAAGCACUUUUGUCCGGAAAGAAAUCCCUGGUCCUAAUAUGGCCGGGGGAUGACGGUACCGGAAGAAUAAGCACCGGCUAACUACGUGCCAGCAGCCGCGGUAAUACGUAGGGUGCAAGCGUUAAUCGGAAUUACUGGGCGUAAAGCGUGCGCAGGCGGUGAUGCAAGACCGAUGUGAAAUCCCCGGGCUUAACCUGGGAACUGCAUUGGUGACUGCAUCGCUAGAGUAUGGCAGAGGGGGGUAGAAUUCCACGUGUAGCAGUGAAAUGCGUAGAGAUGUGGAGGAAUACCGAUGGCGAAGGCAGCCCCCUGGGUCAAUACUGACGCUCAUGCACGAAAGCGUGGGGAGCAAACAGGAUUAGAUACCCUG